RNAcentral lists this ribosomal RNA (250 nucleotides) under uncultured bacterium. RNAcentral describes it as "partial 16S ribosomal RNA". It matches the Rfam family "Bacterial small subunit ribosomal RNA", at positions 524 to 773 of the family's 1533-position model. The record is from RNAcentral.
UACGGAGGGUGCAAGCGUUGUCCGGAUUUAUUGGGUUUAAAGGGUGCGUAGGCGGUCUUUUAAGUCAGAGGUGAAAUCCCACAGCUUAACUGUGGAACUGCCUUUGAAACUGGAAGACUUGAGUAUAGUUGAGGUAGGCGGAAUUUAUGAUGUAGCGGUGAAAUGCAUAGAUAUCAUAAAGAACACCGAUUGCGAAGGCAGCUUACUGGACUAUAACUGACGCUGAGGCACGAAAGCAUGGGGAGCGAAC